This 216-nucleotide ribosomal RNA is filed under the name Glomeromycotina sp. RNAcentral describes it as "partial small subunit ribosomal RNA". The stretch from base 40 to 216 matches the Rfam family "Eukaryotic small subunit ribosomal RNA", at positions 686 to 864 of the family's 1831-position model. The record is from RNAcentral. Lineage: Eukaryota; Fungi; Glomeromycota.
GGGCCAGUAGGUUGGUCGUGCCACCGGUACGUACUGGUCUCACUGAUUCCUCCUUCCUGAAGAACCGUAAUGCCAUUAAUUUGGUGUUGCGGGGAAACAGGACUGUUACUUUGAAAAAAAUAGAGUGUUUAAAGCAAGCUAACGCUUGAAUACAUUAGCAUGGAAUAAUGAAAUAGGACGAUCGAUCCUAUUUUGUUGGUUUCUAGGAUUGACGUA